RNAcentral lists this ribosomal RNA (1386 nucleotides) under Staphylococcus saprophyticus. Its description in RNAcentral is "bacterial SSU rRNA". It matches the Rfam family "Bacterial small subunit ribosomal RNA", at positions 69 to 1437 of the family's 1533-position model. The record is from RNAcentral. Lineage: Bacteria; Bacillati; Bacillota; Bacilli; Caryophanales; Staphylococcaceae.
ACAGAUAAGGAGCUUGCUCCUUUGACGUUAGCGGCGGACGGGUGAGUAACACGUGGGUAACCUACCUAUAAGACUGGGAUAACUUCGGGAAACCGGAGCUAAUACCGGAUAACAUUUGGAACCGCAUGGUUCUAAAGUGAAAGAUGGUUUUGCUAUCACUUAUAGAUGGACCCGCGCCGUAUUAGCUAGUUGGUAAGGUAACGGCUUACCAAGGCGACGAUACGUAGCCGACCUGAGAGGGUGAUCGGCCACACUGGAACUGAGACACGGUCCAGACUCCUACGGGAGGCAGCAGUAGGGAAUCUUCCGCAAUGGGCGAAAGCCUGACGGAGCAACGCCGCGUGAGUGAUGAAGGGUUUCGGCUCGUAAAACUCUGUUAUUAGGGAAGAACAAACGUGUAAGUAACUGUGCACGUCUUGACGGUACCUAAUCAGAAAGCCACGGCUAACUACGUGCCAGCAGCCGCGGUAAUACGUAGGUGGCAAGCGUUAUCCGGAAUUAUUGGGCGUAAAGCGCGCGUAGGCGGUUUCUUAAGUCUGAUGUGAAAGCCCACGGCUCAACCGUGGAGGGUCAUUGGAAACUGGGAAACUUGAGUGCAGAAGAGGAAAGUGGAAUUCCAUGUGUAGCGGUGAAAUGCGCAGAGAUAUGGAGGAACACCAGUGGCGAAGGCGACUUUCUGGUCUGUAACUGACGCUGAUGUGCGAAAGCGUGGGGAUCAAACAGGAUUAGAUACCCUGGUAGUCCACGCCGUAAACGAUGAGUGCUAAGUGUUAGGGGGUUUCCGCCCCUUAGUGCUGCAGCUAACGCAUUAAGCACUCCGCCUGGGGAGUACGACCGCAAGGUUGAAACUCAAAGGAAUUGACGGGGACCCGCACAAGCGGUGGAGCAUGUGGUUUAAUUCGAAGCAACGCGAAGAACCUUACCAAAUCUUGACAUCCUUUGAAAACUCUAGAGAUAGAGCCUUCCCCUUCGGGGGACAAAGUGACAGGUGGUGCAUGGUUGUCGUCAGCUCGUGUCGUGAGAUGUUGGGUUAAGUCCCGCAACGAGCGCAACCCUUAAGCUUAGUUGCCAUCAUUAAGUUGGGCACUCUAGGUUGACUGCCGGUGACAAACCGGAGGAAGGUGGGGAUGACGUCAAAUCAUCAUGCCCCUUAUGAUUUGGGCUACACACGUGCUACAAUGGACAAUACAAAGGGCAGCUAAACCGCGAGGUCAUGCAAAUCCCAUAAAGUUGUUCUCAGUUCGGAUUGUAGUCUGCAACUCGACUACAUGAAGCUGGAAUCGCUAGUAAUCGUAGAUCAGCAUGCUACGGUGAAUACGUUCCCGGGUCUUGUACACACCGCCCGUCACACCACGAGAGUUUGUAACACCCGAAGCCGGUGGAGUA